GAUGAACGCUGGCGGCGUGCCUAAUACAUGCAAGUCGAGCGAACAGACGAGGAGCUUGCUCCUCUGACGUUAGCGGCGGACGGGUGAGUAACACGUGGAUAACCUACCUAUAAGACUGGGAUAACUUCGGGAAACCGGAGCUAAUACCGGAUAAUAUAUUGAACCGCAUGGUUCAAUAGUGAAAGACGGUUUUGCUGUCACUUAUAGAUGGAUCCGCGCCGCAUUAGCUAGUUGGUAAGGUAACGGCUUACCAAGGCAACGAUGCGUAGCCGACCUGAGAGGGUGAUCGGCCACACUGGAACUGAGACACGGUCCAGACUCCUAAGGGAGGCAGCAGUAGGGAAUCUUCCGCAAUGGGCGAAAGCCUGACGGAGCAACGCCGCGUAAGUGAUGAAGGUCUUCGGAUCGUAAAACUCUGUUAUUAGGGAAGAACAAAUGUGUAAGUAACUAUGCACGUCUUGACGGUACCUAAUCAGAAAGCCACGGCUAACUACGUG
This 497-nucleotide ribosomal RNA is filed under the name uncultured bacterium. RNAcentral describes it as "partial 16S ribosomal RNA". It matches the Rfam family "Bacterial small subunit ribosomal RNA", at positions 28 to 507 of the family's 1533-position model. The record is from RNAcentral.